ACCUGAAAGACAGAGAUGGGAAGACUCUAUCUUCAUACAGUCACAGGCUUUGACCCUCCUGCAACCCCUCUCUAAAUCUGUCCAGAUUCCGGAACAGCAUAAAUACUAAAUAAAGAGAGCUUUGUCCAGAGUUUGCAGGAGGUCCUGGCAGAUUCUCCGGACUUCUUGCCUUCGUCGCCAUUCGCCGGCUGCAUCCUCAGCUCCGCCCACAGGCCUUGUCGUCAGCAGCUUGUGCGCCAUGCGACCCUUGCUCCGCCUCCUCGUCCAAACCCUGCCCACAACUCCUCCGAUGCGCCGCUCGUCAUUAAAUGGCACCAGGAGACCCCCAGGAGAUCCGCAGCAUCACAGAUCAAACAUCAGUUUUGAGACCGAAAACAGAGCUACAGCGCCAUCUAUCGAGAAGUGUCAAAGUGUCAAAAUUGCUAUGGAUCAGUGAAGGUAUUGGAAUGACUGGUAAUUGUAUUUCCAAGAUGUUUCAUAAUGUUUAAUUACUUGUUUUUCUGGCAUUCCAAAAUUGUUCCUCCAUUCCUCUUCCUCUAUAAAAAACUGUUUCAUUCACAUUAAUAUUUUUGGGAUGUCUUGUUGAAGAGCUAUGACCCUGACAUGUAGGGACAAGGAUGCCGCUACACAUUUUGGGCUCAAUGGAAGCAUAUAUUGAGCCCCCAACCCAGACCAAUCCAAUUAUGUUCCAAAUUUUUAGCGAGCAUCCUAUCUCUCUCUCUGCCCCGCGAACCAUGCAACCCUUCAUAGGACAAGAAGGUACAGAAAACGGAGGAAUGUGAGACACUCCCCAAGUGUUCUCAACCUUGCUAAACAUUACACCAUUUCAACAAAUACUUGCAAUAGUUACUGGAUUUUCAUUAAACAGAAGCAAAAUAUCACAGGGGAUGGUUACUUGUCAAUAUAACCAGUGGUGUCUGCAGAA
This is a long non-coding RNA of Paramormyrops kingsleyae, 925 nucleotides long. RefSeq lists it as uncharacterized. Lineage: Eukaryota; Metazoa; Chordata; Actinopteri; Osteoglossiformes; Mormyridae. The record is from RefSeq and is a predicted model, not a curated record.